RNAcentral lists this ribosomal RNA (437 nucleotides) under Clostridiales bacterium. RNAcentral's name for it is "partial 16S ribosomal RNA". It matches the Rfam family "Bacterial small subunit ribosomal RNA", at positions 1 to 288 of the family's 1533-position model. The record is from RNAcentral. Lineage: Bacteria; Bacillati; Bacillota; Clostridia; Eubacteriales.
UAAUUGGAGAGUUUGAUCCUGGCUCAGGACGAACGCUGGCGGCGUGCCUAACACAUGCAAGUCGAGCGGGGUUAAAGUUUUACACUGAGUAUUUAAAGAGUUGUUCAGCCAGCGCAUAUGCAAAAACAACCUGAUUAAUAAAUGCUUGCAAUAAAAGUUUUUGCAUUACGCGUUUAAAGCGUGAAUAACACUGACACAAACAAGCAGUCGGAUUUGAGUACUGAGUGUAAAACUUUAACCUAGCGGCGGACGGGUGAGUAACGCGUGAGCAAUCUGCCUCAUACAGGGGGAUAACAGUUGGAAACAGCUGCUAAUACCGCAUAAGACCACGAUAUCGCAUGGUAAAGAGGUCAAAGGAGGAAUCCGGUAUGAGAUGAGCUCGCGUCCCAUUAGCUGGUUGGUGGGGUAACGGCCUACCAAGGCGACGAUGGGUAGCC